UGUAAACAUGUUUGUUCUGUUCUCAGCCUGCCUGCCUUCACGGUUGCUGCAGUUUGGGGCAUCACAUUCAUACAUAACAAUGUGAAAGAACAGGGGCAUCUCUUCCACCAUUUCUUUUAAAGAAUGAAGAAACCUUUUCCCAGAAGCCCUUCAAGAAUGCUCAAGACUCACUGGCCAGAACUGUUCAUCCUGAGCCAAUCUAUGGUCACUGAAAAUGGCGUUACCUGGUUGGCUUGCAGUGGUGUUUACCGCACCAGAGAGGAGGUCACCCUCCAGGAAAGUUAGAUACCUAAAAAAAUUCAUUAGAUGUUAACAAGGAAGAAAUAGAGAAUGUGUGUUAAUAGUAUUCUAUCAUCUGUUACAACAUCAACAAAUCCUCCCUGGCACCCUAAAAAUAUCUAGCACCAGGUUCCAUGUGACUGUUGCAGCCUGUUAUUAUGAGCAAUGGAGGGCUAUAGCUUUAACUAUACUUUCGGACACUUGCCUUUGUCAAUGAGGGCAAAGGCCAAGCAAUGUUAACCCAAAAGUCUGUGACGACAAGGAAAGGCUCUAGCAUGUUUGAAGAAGCUGUGACUUCUCUGUUCUGGGUGGCCUUGGAUUUGGUCAUCUUCAAGUUCAGACAGCCUUGUACAUCCUGCAUAUGGAUGAAGACCCAAAAAGGUUUUUGGAGAUCUGUUUGGAUGGGAUGGAGAAAGCUGUUGCUCUAAUGUUUGAAGCAGACGUCCUCGCCAUGUACAGGCGUGUGCUGUGCACAGACGGGAGCUUGUACAAGCAAGUGACAUUUACCAGCAGGAGCUUGUCUGGACAGCUAUUCACACAAUGUUAUGGACUAAAUGUUUGUGUCUUCCCGGGAAAUUCGUAUGUUGGAGCCCUCGCUUCCACUGGAAUGGUAUUAGGAGGUGGAGCCUUGGAAGGUAAUUAGAUUUAGAUCAGCUCAUGAGGACUGUGCCCCCAUGAUGGGGUUAGUGCCCUUAUAUGAAGAAAAGACAACACUGUCUUCUCUUUCCUCAUGCACAUGAAGAGCAGGCCCUGUGAGCACAUAGUGAGAUGACAGGACGCCUGCAAACCAAGAGCAGUGGGCACCUUGAUCUUGGACUUGCAGCCUCCAGGACCGAGAGAAAUAAACUGCUAUUGUUUAAGCCACCCAGUGUGUGGUAUUUUGUUACGGCAGCUAGAGCUAAGAUACAGAAGCGGAAAGUUUAGUCAUGUAAGUCUCUUCCCCUGAUUUUAAGUCCAGAUUCUGAGACUCAGACUUUCUGAGCCGUCCCUGGAAAAUCUGGUAUAAAAACUGUUCAGGCACUAAAAAAUAUGAAAACUGCCUCUGAAGAUAUUGCUAAAGCUCUCCUCUCCCCUAAAUUACCUCUGUGAGUUUACCCUCCUGGAAGAACUUCCUGAAAACUAGUGGCUAAGUGCUCAAAUGGGAAGGGGGAUGGCUGAGGGGUAAAAAACAGUUGCUAAUUGCAUCUGUUGUUCAUAGUUCUAUAUGUCUUUUACCUACCCACACUGAUACGCGAUAUGUAAUAAAGAAGCUCC
This 1533-nucleotide long non-coding RNA is filed under the name Suricata suricatta (meerkat). Its description in RNAcentral is "lncRNA (ENSSSUG00005011910.1)". The record is from RNAcentral. Lineage: Eukaryota; Metazoa; Chordata; Mammalia; Carnivora; Herpestidae.